Molecule: ribosomal RNA, 116 nt
Filed under: Pteropus alecto (black flying fox)
Lineage: Eukaryota; Metazoa; Chordata; Mammalia; Chiroptera; Pteropodidae
Source: RNAcentral
GUUUACGGCCAUGCCACCCUGAACAAGCCCCAUGUCUGAUCUCGGAAGCUAAGCAGGGUCGGGUCUGGUUAGUACUUGUAUGGAAGACCACUUAGGAAGACCAGGUGCUGUAGGCA